RNAcentral lists this microRNA (22 nucleotides) under Ophiophagus hannah (king cobra). RNAcentral describes it as "oha-miR-194-3p". Its record names the gene oha-miR-194-3p. RNAcentral also lists the same sequence under 1 other name. Lineage: Eukaryota; Metazoa; Chordata; Lepidosauria; Squamata; Elapidae. The record is from miRBase by way of RNAcentral.
CCAGUGGAGGUGGUGUUACUUU